Molecule: long non-coding RNA, 714 nt
Filed under: Cricetulus griseus (Chinese hamster)
Lineage: Eukaryota; Metazoa; Chordata; Mammalia; Rodentia; Cricetidae
Description: lncRNA (ENSCGRG00015041085.1)
Source: RNAcentral
GCAUCCUAUCAGUUUGGACUGAAAUAGUUCCAGAUGAGGGUGACAUUUGAGGAGCGCCUUGCAGAAACUUAGUGGUGGUAAUAUAAAGAGCCUUCGUCCUACUGCUGUGUUCUGGGGCUCACUGUAAUUUCAUGCUGCAUUUGGAAGCCUGCAGGGGAGACACCUUAAUUACUACGGAUGCCAUAUAGGAAGAGGAGUGCAAAUCAAACUUUAUUAAUCGACAACAUACUUCCAGCUUUCAGGAACAGAUGCUAAGGGGGAGUGAAACCUUGUAAGCCACGGGUAUCUACCAACACCCCCUCAGAUCUGGAAGCACCAUCCAUUUGGAAAUAAAGGAGAUAUGUUUUGCCUAGUCUCUCCUAAUACUGGCCACAACAGACAAACCAAAUGUCCCUGCUGAAGUGCAAUCCCAGAUCUCUUCUGGAUCCUUCUUUGAAAUCUGGGAAAUACCGUGAUUACUGAUGACUUCACUGUGUUUUGAUAUCAAUCAGGGAUGGCCUUGGAUUCUUCACUAUGGAUGGGUUUAGUGAGUAUUUGAAGAAAUGUCAUGAGCUGAGUAUGCAUCUUAGUUUGCUUCCUAUUAUUGUGAUAAAUACCAUGACCAAAAGCAACCGGGGGAGGAAAUGGCUUACUCCAUCACUCAGUUUGUAUUCCAUCAUGAAGAGAAGUCAGGUCAGGAACUGAGGCAGAGACCACAGAGAAACACUGCUUAUU